RNAcentral lists this ribosomal RNA (455 nucleotides) under uncultured organism. RNAcentral's name for it is "partial 16S ribosomal RNA". It matches the Rfam family "Bacterial small subunit ribosomal RNA", at positions 331 to 799 of the family's 1533-position model. The record is from RNAcentral.
GUACACUCCUGCGGGAGGCAGCAGUGGGGAAUUUUACGCAAUGGGGGAAACCCUGACGUAGCGACACCGCGUGAGCGAAGAAGCCCUUUGGGGUGUAAAGCUCUGUCAGCUGGAACGAAAACAAUGACGGUACCAGCAGAGGAAGCAUCGGCUAACUACGUGCCAGCAGCCGCGGUAAGACGUAGGAUGCGAGCGUUGUCCGGAUUUAUUGGGCGUAAAGAGUUCGUAGGUGGUUUGUUAAGUUUGGUGUUAAAGAUCGGGGCUCAACCCUGGGACUGCACUGAAUACUGGCAGACUCGAGUGUGGUAGAGGCUAGUGGAAUUCCCAGUGUAGCGGUGAAAUGCGUAGAUAUUGGGAAGAACACCGGUGGCGUAGGCGACUAGCUGGGCCAUAACUGACGCUGAGGAACGAAAGCCAGGGGAGCGAAUGGGAUUAGAUACCCUGGUAGUCCCAUG